GGUGCCCUGGUGCUUUCUUGUUGGGUCAGAGAGCUCACCGCUGGGAGGGAACAUGCAAGAGUUGCCUAAUCCAUCUCUCCGCUGUAGCUCUGUCUGCAUGAAUAAUGAUAUUCUAUUUCGAAUAACAGACAAGCAGGAGAAUGAGAUAGUUGCCAGAGGUAAACCAGAAAAGUAUUGGGUGAUUUUACCUCAUAUAACAAAAGCAAGAGACAGACCAAAAUCAGAGUCAUCCCAAUGCAGAGGACUUUGAGGCACUGCCAGGCAGGCUGUUCCUACAGGGAAUAUUGUGCUAUGGGGGUGUGCAUAUGUGGAGCACUGCUGGCAUUGCAUGGAUGGGACCAGUGAGUAUGUCUCUGCGUGGCCUUGGUCUAAACCAACUUGUUCUGUCAGAAGGCUUAUAUCACUUCUUAAAAGUGAAU
Molecule: long non-coding RNA, 419 nt
Organism: Anas platyrhynchos (mallard)
Lineage: Eukaryota; Metazoa; Chordata; Aves; Anseriformes; Anatidae
Source: RefSeq, a predicted model, not a curated record